AAUGAACGCUGGCGGCGUGCCUAAUACAUGCAAGUCGAACGAGAGCCAUUGUAGCAAUACGAUGGUUUCUAGUGGCGAACGGGUGAGUAACGCGUUGGUGAUCUGCCCCGAAGUGGAGGAUAACAGUCCGAAAGGACUGCUAAUACUCCAUGUGGCUGCAAGAGUUAGAGGUCUUGCUACCAAAGAAGCAAUUCGCUUCGGGAGGAGCCUGCGUCCCAUCAGCUAGUUGGUA
RNAcentral lists this ribosomal RNA (232 nucleotides) under uncultured bacterium. Its description in RNAcentral is "partial 16S ribosomal RNA". It matches the Rfam family "Bacterial small subunit ribosomal RNA", at positions 29 to 254 of the family's 1533-position model. The record is from RNAcentral.